UGGGUCGGCAAGACGGUCGCGUCGGUCGGGGGCUCGCUCCCGACCGCCGAGGAACGUCCGGGCUCCACAGAGCAGGGCGGUGGGCAACACCCACCCGGGGCGACCCGCGAGACAGUGCAACAGAGAGCAGACCGCCUCGGUCACGUCGUGAGACGGGGCCGCGGUGAGGGUGAAACGGUGGUGUAAGAGACCACCAGCGGUUCGGGUGACCGACCGGCUAGGCAAACCUCGCCCGGAGCAAGGUCAGACAGAGGACGUCGAGGUGGCUCGCCGAGUCCUCGGGUAGACCGCUGGAGGGCUGCGGCAACGUAGUCCCGAGAUAGAUGGCCGUCCAUGGUGCCUCGGCACCGGGACAGAACCCGGCGUAUCAGCCGGCCCAUCCG
Frigoribacterium sp. Leaf164 is the source of this 383-nucleotide non-coding RNA. It matches the Rfam family "Bacterial RNase P class A". From Rfam's summary of the family: Ribonuclease P (RNase P) is a ubiquitous endoribonuclease, found in archaea, bacteria and eukarya as well as chloroplasts and mitochondria. Its best characterised activity is the generation of mature 5'-ends of tRNAs by cleaving the 5'-leader elements of precursor-tRNAs. NCBI's taxonomy places the organism in Bacteria, Bacillati, Actinomycetota, Actinomycetes, Micrococcales, Microbacteriaceae. The record is from Rfam.